UACGAGAGGCCCAAACGUUAUUCGGAUUUACUGGGCUUAAAGAGUUCGUAGGCGGCGCAGAAAGUGGGGUGUGAAAGCCCUCGGCUCAACCGAGGAAUUGCGCUCCAAACUACUGUGCUCGAGGGACCUAGAGGUGAGCAGAACUGAUGGUGGAGCGGUGAAAUGCGUUGAUAUCUACAGGAACUCCGGUGGCGAAAGCGGCGCGCUGGACCUCUUCUGACGCUGAGGCGCGAAAGCUAGGGGAGCAAACGGG
Molecule: ribosomal RNA, 253 nt
Filed under: uncultured bacterium
Lineage: Bacteria
Description: partial 16S ribosomal RNA
Rfam family: Bacterial small subunit ribosomal RNA
Source: RNAcentral